Non-coding RNA from Malus domestica (apple), 982 nucleotides. The record is from RefSeq and is a predicted model, not a curated record. NCBI's taxonomy places the organism in Eukaryota, Viridiplantae, Streptophyta, Magnoliopsida, Rosales, Rosaceae.
GUGGCUCACGAGGACUCAUCGGCGGUUCUGACAGACAUCUACCAGUAUUAAGAUUUUUAAGCGAGAAACAAGUUCAAAAUUCAAUUGAGAUUAAGAUUUUUAAGCGAGAAUCAAGUUCAAAAUUCAAUUGAGGUACGAGUCUUUUUGCUUAUUUGGGCUGUUGAAUUCAUCCUUGCCUUUACUGCAAUUUUUCUUUUUUACUGUUGUUUGGUACAUUCUGGUAUUGAUUUCAUUGCAAUUUUUCUCUUUGCCUUCAGUUUUUAUUGAAUUUAUUGACGUUUUGUGCACGAGUUAAUCUAUUUGUUAUAUGUCGUGGUUAAAGGUUUGGUUUCUUUCUUUUUUUCUUUUUAUCAAUCCUCUCUAUUUACAAUUUAAGUUGAAUUACCAUGGGAUGUACAACAAAGGAGGCUAAAAAGCAGUCUAGACCCAGGAAAAGGCCAUAAACAAAGCAAGGAAAAAGACCAGUGGUUAAAAAGGCCAAGUAGUCCGAAAGAGACAUAUAAACAAGACAUAAAGCGCAACUUUUGUCCAAAUCCUAGACAUCCCACUAACCCAAAAAAAUAAAAAAUGACAGCUAGCUACUCUAACGUGAUCAACACCUUUGCUUCAUUUUCCACGUUGGUGGGUUACCCACCCUAAGCCCCUCAAAUAAUUAACAAAUCAUUCAAACGUGUUUUAUGUUUGUGGGUUAUCCUGAACCUCUCACUAAUUAACAAAUAAACCAGUAUGCUUUCACAGUGCAUCUACACUGUUUGGUUCCAGGAAGUGAGAAAACUGAAAGUGGAACAAUGCUUUUACAUCAGCUCCCACUAUAUCGUUAACUUUUAGCCCUCAAGUCUUAAUUAAGUUUUUUCUUUGUUAAGUUUUGUCUGCAUAAAAACAAAGUCACCAGCUCCCACUACAUCAUUAACUUUUGACACCUACAAUUAUUUUGAAUUAAUAGCACAUAAUAAAGCUACUUUAAUUUUCUUCUUUGGGAUUA